Molecule: long non-coding RNA, 945 nt
Filed under: Panax ginseng (ginseng)
Lineage: Eukaryota; Viridiplantae; Streptophyta; Magnoliopsida; Apiales; Araliaceae
Description: long non-coding RNA (PGIN_LNC006995)
Source: RNAcentral
UGGGAUAAAAAUAAUGACUAAAGUCAAAUUCUACUCUUUAAUGAAAUUUUGUGAUGUUAACUCUAUAUGAUUUAUACAAUAUGGAAAAUGUAGAUUUGGGAUCAUAAACAACAAUAGAAUAGAUGAAUAGUAUGUAUCAAUCAAACAAGGAGAGUUGGAAUCACAAAAUCAAUCCUUCCAGAUCUCUCUUUAGUACAUACAUACAUAAUACAUAAAUACAAUAGUGAUAAAACUAAAAUUAAAAAAAAAAUCUGAAGAUGAGAAGACAAUAUGAUCAUAUGACAAAUUAAGGGGAAUGAUCAGAAACAAGCAUCCAAUACACAGCAGCAACACAAGGCAGCACAGCAUCCUUUCCAAAAUCCAUCACCUCUCGAUUUAGUUUCUACACGUCCAUCAGCACCAGCAGGAGGAUCGGCACCGUCUUUCGUGGGGUAACCAGCAGGCGGCGGUGCUGCAUAAGGGCUUGAAGUUGCAGGAUACGAGACUGCGACUGCAAAUUCAAUCAAAAUACAAAUUAAUCUUAAAUUUUCCAAUCAAAAUUUAAAUCAAUCAAUUCAACAAUAUGCUAAUUAACACACACGUACCUCCUUGCGGUUGAUUUUGAUCAUACUGAUUCAUAUUGAUAAUAAUUAUAAGCUAAUUGAUACGUACUACUUAAACUAUAAUCAGAUAGCUAAUAAUAUCCUAAAGAGAGAGAUUAAGUUAUGUCGAUAUUGAAAGUAUGAAGGUUAUAUGGGGAAUAUAUAUAGACAUAGCAAGAAAUAUAUAUAUAUAUAGAGAGAGAGAGAGAGAAGUAGGUGAGACUAUGUUGGAGUGGUUCUGGGCCUCUGGCCUUGCCUUGGCGAAGCUUACCGAGGGAGGACGGCAUAAGCGCGUAAACCGCAUAAAAUAAUAAUAAUAUAAAAAAAAAUAUACCAGCAAAAGAAUCCAAAUACGAAACCAACA